AGCAGCCGCGGUAAUUCCAGCUCCAAUAGCGUAUAUUAAAGUUGUUGCAGUUAAAAAGCUCGUAGUUGAAUUUCGGGGUUAGUAGGUUGGUCAUGCCUCUGGUAUGUACUGGUCUCACUGAUUCCUCCUUCCUGAUGAACCUUAAUGCCAUUAAUUUGGUGUUUUGGGGAAUUUGGACUGUUACUUUGAAAAAUUAGAGUGUUUAAAGCAAGCUAACGCUUGAAUACAUUAGCAUGGAAUAAUGAAAUAGGACGUUCGGUCCUAUUUUGUUGGUUUCUAGGAUUGACGUAAUGAUUAAUAGGGAUAGUUGGGGGCAUUAGUAUUCAAUUGGUCAGAGGUGAAAUUCUUGGAUUUAUUGAAGACUAACUACUGCGAAAGCAUUUGCCAAGGAUGUUUUCAUUAAUCAAGAACGAAAGUUAGGGGAUCGAAGACGAUCAGAUACCGUCGUAGUCUUAACCAUAAACCUAUGCCGACUAGGGAUCGGAUGAUGUAAUUUUUAAUGACUCAUUCGGCGCCUUAC
Molecule: ribosomal RNA, 520 nt
Filed under: uncultured Glomus
Lineage: Eukaryota; Fungi; Glomeromycota; Glomeromycetes; Glomerales; Glomeraceae
Description: SSU rRNA
Rfam family: Eukaryotic small subunit ribosomal RNA
Source: RNAcentral